Molecule: ribosomal RNA, 212 nt
Filed under: uncultured bacterium
Lineage: Bacteria
Description: partial 16S ribosomal RNA
Rfam family: Bacterial small subunit ribosomal RNA
Source: RNAcentral
CGGAACGUGCCCAGUCGUGGGGGAUAACGCAGCGAAAGCUGUGCUAAUACCGCAUACGAUCCAUGGAUGAAAGCGGGGGAUCGCAAGACCUCGCGCGAUUGGAGCGGCCGAUAUCAGAUUAGCUAGUUGGCGGGGUAAAAGCCCACCAAGGCGACGAUCUGUAGCUGGUCUGAGAGGACGACCAGCCACACUGGAACUGAGACACGGUCCAG